RNAcentral lists this ribosomal RNA (415 nucleotides) under uncultured bacterium. RNAcentral's name for it is "bacterial SSU rRNA". It matches the Rfam family "Bacterial small subunit ribosomal RNA", at positions 355 to 794 of the family's 1533-position model. The record is from RNAcentral.
UGGGGAAUAUUGGGCAAUGGACGAGAGUCUGACCCAGCCAUGCCGCGUGCAGGAAGACGGCGUCUGCGUUGUAAACUGCUUUUAUCUGGGAAGCGGUACCAGAUGAAUAAGCACCGGCUAACUCCGUGCCAGCAGCCGCGGUAAUACGGAGGGUGCAAGCGUUGUCCGGAUUUAUUGGGUUUAAAGGGUGCGUAGGCGGCUAUUUAAGUCAGCGGUGAAAGACAUCGGCUCAACCGAUGCAGUGCCAUUGAUACUGGAUAGCUUGAGUGUUGGAGGGGUACAUGGAAUUGAUGGUGUAGCGGUGAAAUGCAUAGAUACCAUCAGGAACACCGAUAGCGAAGGCAUUGUACUGGCCAACAACUGACGCUGAGGCACGAAAGCGUGGGGAGCGAACAGGAUUAGAUACCCUUGUAGU